RNAcentral lists this ribosomal RNA (507 nucleotides) under uncultured bacterium. RNAcentral's name for it is "partial 16S ribosomal RNA". It matches the Rfam family "Bacterial small subunit ribosomal RNA", at positions 28 to 507 of the family's 1533-position model. The record is from RNAcentral.
GACGAACGCUGGCGGCGUGCCUAAUACAUGCAAGUCGAACGCAUUUUCUUUCACCGUAGCUUGCUACACCGAAAGAAAAUGAGUGGCGAACGGGUGAGUAACACGUGGGUAACCUGCCCAUCAGCGGGGGAUAACACUUGGAAACAGGUGCUAAUACCGCAUAAUUCCAUUUACCGCAUGGUAAAUGGAUGAAAGGCGCUUUUGCGUCACUGAUGGAUGGACCCGCGGUGCAUUAGCUAGUUGGUGGGGUAACGGCCUACCAAGGCUGCGAUGCAUAGCCGAACUGAGAGGGUGAUCGGCCACACUGGGACUGAGACACGGCCCAGACUCCUACGGGAGGCAGCAGUAGGGAAUCUUCGGCAAUGGACGCAAGUCUGACCGAGCAACGCCGCGUGAGUGAAGAAGGUUUUCGGAUCGUAAAACUCUGUUGUUAGAGAAGAACAAGGAUGAGAGUGGAAAGUUCAUCCCUUGACGGUAUCUAACCAGAAAGCCACGGCUAACUACGUG